AUAGAAUUAUUGCUGCGGUUAAAAAGCUCGUAGUUGGAUCUGUGUUGGCCGCCCGGUCUGCUCUUUGUGGUAUGCACUGGUGCGGUCGGCUUUUCUGUCGGAAUGCCUCACGGCGUUGGCUUUCAUCGGCCGGCGUCGCGGGUCCGGCACGGUUUACUUUGAACAAAUCAGAGUGCUUCAAACAGGCGUCUCGCCUGAAUGUUCGUGCAUGGAAUAAUAGAAGAGGAUCACGGUCCGAUUUUAUUGGUUUUGCUGACCGAGAUAAUGGUUAACAGAGACAAACGGGGCCAUUCGUAUUGCUGCGUGAGAGGUGAAAUUCUUGGACCGUAGCAAGACGAACUACAG
Molecule: ribosomal RNA, 345 nt
Filed under: uncultured eukaryote
Lineage: Eukaryota
Description: SSU rRNA
Rfam family: Eukaryotic small subunit ribosomal RNA
Source: RNAcentral